CUCUCUCUCUCUCUCUCUCUCUCUCUCUCUCUCUCUCUCUCUCUCUCUCUCUCUCUCUCUCUCUCUCUCUCUCUCUCUCUCUCUCUCUCUCUCUCUCUCUCUCUCUCUCUCUCUCUCUCGCCUCUGCUUCCUGACAGCCGGUGUUGUGGUCUCUGUUAGCCUUGAGUGUUCAGCCUGUGCCUUCAGCCCACCACCGUCUGUUGUUGUGGGCUUCAGGCAUCAACAAACCACAUACUCUCAAAACAUCCCCAAUUUCUCCCUAGACACAGCCUCAGAAAUUCCCUGAGAAACUUCCCCAGAAUUGUCUAAAACUCCCCAGAAAUUCUCACCCUUCCCUAGAAACUGACUGACUGACACUGGUAGAGGAUUAUCAAGUCCUCUACCCUUGCCAGUUCCCACACAACACACCCCCUGCCACCUCCACCCCUAUACAGACCCUACACCCUUCCCUUACACCCUAACCAGACCUUACCCCCAACAAUCUUCCCCCUCUCCUCCCUCCCCCUCUCACCUCUUUCCCCUCCCCGCCACUAUGCCAGCCCUGUCUCACGUGGCGCUGCAUGACUCGAGGCCGCAUGACAGUCGGUGUUGGAUCAGUAGGACGCUGUAAAGAACAUGUUAAAUUUAAGUCACCCCCCAAAGCUGCCUUCCCUCUGUUCCCCUCCUCCAGCUCCCCCCCUUCAAGCCCGGUCAGCCUGAUUGACCUGAGAUAUUGAAAAGACAACGCUUAUUCGUUCGUAGGAGGUUGCCCCCCCACCAUCUCUUCCCCCGUCCCUCAUACAUCUGUCGCCGCCCCCCUAACGCUGAUAUCCCCACUUUCCCUCCUUCUACCCCCCUCACCACCACGCUAGUAAAUGCCUCUGUGUUCCCUAGUUUUUUUGUUUUUUUUUUCUUUAUUGUUAAUGGCUGGGGCGCCCUCCUCCCCUCCCUCCCUCCCUUAAUUAAUACAGGUCUUACUGAUAAUACUUGUGAUAAACGUGUUUGGACGAGUCGUGGUUAGCUGUUUAUUAUUUUUCAUUAUCGUUAUUAUUAUUAUUAUUAUUAUUAUUAUUAUUAUUAUUAUUAUUAUUAUUAUUAUUAUUGUUAUUAUCAUUAUUAUCAUUAUGAUCAUUGCCCCUUGUCGCUGUUGUUUGGUGAUUAGCAACUGUCGUAUGGAUCUUGUUUUUUGUUUUUUUGUUUUUUUCUUGUUAAUGUUAAUAUAUUGUGUGCCCCCCAUUACUGCCCCCCUCGCUGAGAUUAUUUUUGGAAGGGUCUCAGAAGGAACCCUCGUCCCCCCCAACACACCCCAGACUGAACAGCAAGAGCAUCAAAUGUUACUCAGCCGUUGCAGAAGAAGUCCAGUUUUGCUGAUAGGGAUUACCGCCCCCGGCCUCGCCCCGCUCCCCCCGCCACUUUUUGUGUGUCACGCCAUUAGCCUUUCAGAAAAGUACCUAACUUGAGUCUGUCCCAAGUGGCGCCGAGUUGCCGUAGUAAGGUCUAGCAUUGCCUCGUCACACGUCACGUCACGUCACGGAUACACACGGGCCGUCUGCUCUCUCUCCCCGUCUGGUAACUCAGCUAACAGUCCAGUCCAGUCCAGUCAGUCCGCCACCACUCACAGCCCACACCACCACUUAGUUGACUGUCACGUGCUCCGCCUCACUCCCACGUAACACAGAGACUCUCACCAAUCACCUCUCCCGCCUCCCAUGACGUGAGAGGCUCCGGCCAAUCACACAUCCUCCUUCCCAUGACGUCACUCAGACUGUGGUGCAGCUCUGGCCCGCCCCCCCUGAGGAGUCCCUCCCCCCUAGACCCUCCAGGGGCUGCAAACGGCUCUCCUCUGAACAGCCCCCAGAAGGGCUCACGAAGUAGUCCUUUUCUCAUCACUCACCGCCUCUGAUUUGGCUCCUGAGUGACGGGCAGAGGACUCGACGUGUGGCUGAGGUGGUUACCUUUCACUGUUCACUCGUCGUCCACGCACAAGAGGACAGCAUUUGCAGCGGCUUCGGCACCGUUGAGCUGGUGUGGGUGCGGGGGGCCGCUGCUCGCCCGGGGCGCCCCAUCUCACCCCGGGCGGGCAGCGGGUGCGGGUGUUCCCUUCCAAACUGCCAAAACAAGUCACCCAAAAGACUGCUCACCACCUGUCGCCUGCAGCCGCCGCCACCAACAGGCCAGGCAGUGGUGGUGCAGGGGCGCGUGGCUGUGGGCGUCGCUCUCUGCCCUAAAAAACACCAGGCCCGCCCAGCCCCGCCUCCAGGGACCCCGCACAACCGCAGCGCCGUCACACUUGUCACACUGGAGCCACGCUGACCAUGCCCCGGCGCCUCCACCCCCGGAAGUCUCGCCGCGACCAGAGGGGCGCAGGAUGUGAGGAUGCCGCAGAGUGUGGGACCAGAUGCCGACCCUUCCCCACGCCCCGCCCGGCCCCGCUCCCCGCUCUGCAGGAGGCUGAGGGCCCGCCUGUCACGUCCCGCCGCCCCGUGACCAAGCCUCCAGGGACAACUGCCGCCGUCCAUUUCUACAUGUUGAGUCGCAGGGUGGGUGUUCAUCUCAGACUUCUUGGCCAGUCUUCUUAGGGCUGCUGGGGGAAGCCGGUAGGGUCUGGCGAUCAUGAAGAACACAGGCGGUGGUGCUUGAAUGAGGCACCGAGGCUCUGGACCUCUUACUGUUGGGGCUGAGGCUUCCUGGUCCUUACAUGAAGCGCGGGCAGGACCGGACUGGACUGGGGACGCUCGUGGCCUGAGUGAGUGGCGUGGAGCACUGGACGCUGCCUUGUGAACUAUCCUCUGCGAGAAGGACCAGGAAUACACAGAGGCGGCUGACUAGAGGCUGUGGGAGAUGAAGAAAUUCCUCGUUGAGUGCAGAACAGCAGACAAAGCAGCAGGAAACAGCCUAGCCUUCACAGCACUGAUGUCUGGACUGACUGGAAGCUGUGGAAGGCGAAGGACUGGCCGGGAUCCCCAUGACAAGGAAACGAGGACACAGCACACAGCCAGUUGCAAGAACCCAUUAGGCCUACACGUGGCAGAGACAUGGAGAGAGGCCUAUUACCGACCACUGCAACCACCACCACCACCUCCACCACCACUGGGACACAUUGCUUUUGACUUCCACGCAAAGGAAUCAAAUUAAUGCCUUGAUAUGUCCUUUUCCCACAAGAGGACGUGAGAUAAGAGAGGGAGGUGCUUGGAGGGAGGACGUGAAGAUACUCAGAAGAUAUAAGACGAGUGUGGAGUUAAUGUAUUGUGUUUCUACAUCUCAGUUAUCUGUGAGUGCAUUCAUGAGGUGCAGGAGGUGAGGAGGAGAGGAGGAGAGGAAGUGGUCUUUGCCUGGUGGCCUGCAGUGAGUGGAGUGUGUCUCCGGGCCACGGUCACUCUUACAAACUGACGAUACGGUUGGUCUGUUGGUCUCUUUCUCCAGGUUUGCUUUGAUGCAUAAUUUCCCCAUGGGUUUAUUUCCCCGCCUCCGUUUUGUUGUUGUUCGUAGCGGUAAGGAUGGCGGACACCAGACAAGUCCCAUGCACUGAGUGGAUGCAUUGCUCUGUUAGUUGUUCAAUAUUUAGUACCUAGGGAUUUUUAUUGUAGGUUAUAGGAGAACUAUAUAUUGCCUGACAUAAUGGUUGAACAAAUAUUGGAGUUUUAACAUUGUAUACAUAUAUUUAGCAGUUGAGUUUAUUUGCUAGAUUUAUAUUUUCUCAGUUAAAAUUUUAAGUACCUAUUGUAGCAAAUUUUAUUCAUAUAUAAGUGCUAUUAAAAUAUUAGACUAAGUGAUAAAGAAAGGUUUGAAACCACUAUUAUAUAUAUAUUAGAAUAUAUAUUCCAAUCAUCCUUGUAAACAAAUAUUACUGAAUUGAAAAGGUAUAACUCCUUCAGUGCAUCAUAAUACUAAUAGUCUCUAUGAUCACACUGACAAACUGAAUUCUUUCCAGAUGAUAUUAUUCCUUAGCGCGUAGGAAGCACCAGCAGCACUGACAGGCGGUGCUGGGGUGCUGCGGCGGCACAGCUGUGGGCCGUGGUGCUCAGACACACACACACACACACACACACACACACACACACACACACACACACACACACACACACACACACAGAAAAAUGAAAGAUCUAGGACAUGACAAGUCUCACAUAAUCCUGUAAAACUGCAGAGUGAUAGAUGCAAACACAGGACACAGACAUGCUAGGAUGAGGCAAGAUUUGAUGCAUACGUGAACUGAAGGAGGAACACUGGAUGAAUGCAGACACUGACACAAAACACCAUCCAUAGAACUCAGGCCCUACACACACACACACACACACACACACACACACACACACACACACACACACACACACACACACACACACACACACACACACACACACACACACACCUGACCUACAGCUGUGCCCAUACAAAGAGUUAAUAGUUUGUUUCCACAUUUAAAAAAAAAAAAAGGUUGCAUUAGUGGAAGUCUUCUCUUAACCGACCAUAGCGUUUAUGAAGCAAGUCUUUUCUUGGCAUAACUUUGCAUUGAGGCUUUUUGUGCCGGGAGUGACAAAUGCUGAUGAUAUAACCAUAUAUUCCAAUUUUUCCCUCCAUUUCAUAAUAUAGUAAGUGGAAGAAGGUUAAAAAAGAUAUACCAUGUCUUAGUGUGUGUCUCUGAGGCUUGUCUGUGCUGUUACUUGAUCUUACUUUGGCCUCUGGUGUACACUUAGUUCUGGAAGGUGGUCUUGCAUGUUCCCUCACUUCCAACUGGUGAAAUAUUGCAUCGUGGAAAUAGUGUAUAGAUAGAUAGUGCUAGAGAAGUGUACAGGCAGUUUCUCAGGCAUCAAGUUAACAAUGUACACCCUUGUUAGUGAUAUAUAGAUGAUGAUAGAUGAGGCGAGUACACAUUUCACACAUCAAAUUGGCAAUGUGACACCUUUCUAGUAAUGAUUUAUUGAGGGACUGUGUUAAUGAGCCAAAAAAAGACAAAAACCUAUCAUAUAGGCAUCAAAGUUAUUCAGCGCACACCCUCAACAUACCACCAGGAUGACAGCAGCCCACAAGCCUCAGGGAACACACACCGUGGCGCCUCAAGUCUUUAAUCGCGUGUGAUAUCACUCUUCCACUAGAUGUGUGUGUGCGUGUGCGUGACUGUAGCUGUCAUAGAGAGGCUCUGUACACUGGUUAGUCCAGAGGUGCGGCCCACAGGCAAGGGUUUCUCGCUGCCGUGAUGCAUCAGACGUGUGUGCGCGGCAGCUCAGCCUGUGAGGUCGGAAGAAACCCCCGAGAAUCAGUGGUGUGACCCUGUUUACACACAAUAGCGUUUUUUGAUGUAGCCCACCCAGUUUUUUGACGGUAGGGGCGCAUAGCAGAGUUUUUAUCAACGACUAGUGUUGUAAAUACUACUAUACAUUAGCUCCAGCAGCAGCAGUGAGUUGCAUCGCCUCUAGAGCAAAGGAACCGCCUCACUCCCCGUGGGGCAACACUCUAAUAACCUCUCCAACAUUAUAGAUUCGACACAACACCAGUACACCACCACUUCUGUUUGGACCACCCUUCCUUACUCCUGCCCAUUACUUGCUCACCAACAAAGGAUCUGUUUUCUUUGCUGCCGAGGCCUGCCAGCGUGUCCCUGUCCUGACACACACACACCUGGCUGGCUCGGCUCCCCCAUGAUGUAGCUCUGUGUAGGAGUGUUGGUUGUGUUUACCCUUUAUUGUGGACUGGCCAGCUGACACUCACUGGCACUCACACGCCCAGUGACAGCAUUGGGACCUGAUAAUGUGUCCCUCAUUUCUCGAUCCUAACCCAAGAAAUGAGAAUAGGGUACAUAAAGCAUUGAGUUACAUCUUUGCACAUCAGACUCCAUCAUGUGACCUCCUGAAUCCUUCUUGAAAAGUUUCCUAAAAUGAGAUUCAGAGAGCAGGGUGGUGAAACAGUCAGUCAGUUAUGAGACGCUGGUAAAUGUAAUCAAAAUCUACAAAAAGCAAAUUUGUUCACAAUAACUACUGCAGAGUGAAGGAGGAAACAGGUAACAGUGAAAUAAUUGGCUGGUUAAAAUGACGAAAACAAACAGAACCUUUAAAUCCCUUCUGUUACCUAUUUUCUUCUCAUCUCCCAUAAUUCUCAAUCGUCUCAAACUGAUAAGAUCUUGAGGAAAAAGUUGAUAGUGUCACCUUCCCCACCCCCACGCACCAGCAGUGACAGUAAGAGCGACAGUAACAGUGAGAGUGAGUGACAGUGAGCCCUCGUCCUGUAUAACGAAUAAGCGACCAAUGCCUCGUGUCGCAGUACAGAAGGUUGAAUUGUGUGUAAAGCAGGAAGUGUAGCCAGUGUGAUAGCUGAUGGGGGUAACUGCUGAAGGUUAUGAUAAUCUGCUAGUGGAUUAUGUAGCUAAAUGAUUCUGUAUUGGCAUGUGUGUGUGUGUGUGUGUGUGAGAGAGAGAGAGAGAGAGAGAGAGAAACUACCAUGAGAUAAUGAUACUAGUGUGUGUGUGUGUGUGUGUGUGUGUGUGUGUGUGUGUGUGCGUGCAUGCAGGGUGGGGAUGGGAGUGGGGGGGGAGUGACGGGAAACAGCUGGGCGGGUUCACAACAGUCCACAUCGCGUGCUUAUCAUCACAUAAGCAGCUAACACCCUCAUCAUGAUAAUUGUCUUUGUUGGUCAUUCUGCUUUGUAAUUUUAAUAAAUUUUUAUAUGCUGA
This 6646-nucleotide unclassified non-coding RNA is filed under the name Portunus trituberculatus (swimming crab). RNAcentral describes it as "uncharacterized LOC123502981, transcript variant X1". The record is from RNAcentral. Lineage: Eukaryota; Metazoa; Arthropoda; Malacostraca; Decapoda; Portunidae.